This 385-nucleotide long non-coding RNA is filed under the name Musa acuminata (dwarf banana). Its description in RNAcentral is "long non-coding RNA (MACU_LNC006795)". Lineage: Eukaryota; Viridiplantae; Streptophyta; Magnoliopsida; Zingiberales; Musaceae. The record is from RNAcentral.
CAGGACCGAGUUCAGGGCGAAUAUGUGGAACAGGGGAAGCACGCACAGCACCACGUCGUCGUCCUUGAGGUACAGGUUCGGGUUUUCUCCAUCCACCUGCUGAGCUAUGCUCGAAACCAAACUCUUGUGCGUGAGCAUCACCCCCUUGGGCAGCCCCGUCGUCCCUGACGAGAACGGCAGCGCGACGGGAUCCUCGGGAUCGAUGGUGACGUCGGGAAUUGCCGUCUCGUCGGAAUCAAGUACUUGGGAGAAGCUUAUGCAGUCCGCGGGAGGGGCGUCGGUGGUGACCACAAUCAAGCCGUCGCCGAUCUCGGGGAACCCCUCGUUGACGGCGCGGAGCUUGUCGACGUACAUGGACUGGGUGAUGACAACCUUCGCGCCCGAG